GCCCCCGCCCGACGCCCCCUUGCCCCCGUCCAUCUCGCCGCAAGGCACGCGGCGCGCCUCGCGAUGCCCCCUCGCCCCCGUUUGUCUCGCCGUGAUGCGUGCGGCGCGCCUCGCGAUGCCCUCUCGCCCAUGCCCCUGCUCGCCUCUUCUCCGCCCCAUCCCCCUGUGUCUAGCGCGCUACCCGCCCCUCCCAACGUCGUCCUCUCCGUCCCAUCCUCCCAUCGUGCGACAACCGAUCCACGCCUCGAGGCCCAGGCCGUGCCACGCCGGUGGGGAAGCGAAACUCACUUACAGGACGCGGAUCUCCUUCCAAACUCGAAGGCGACGAUCCGGCACAGGGGCAACCUUCCAUGGUAGGCGAGAUCCACGGCCCACUCGCGAUGCGCCCCCAUGUCAGCCACUCCCGUUCGUCACCUCACGAUCCGAUGAAGGCGAAGGGCGCACCUAAAGCAUUGUGGCAAGCCGGUAUCUGCCGCAGCGGCGGUAGAGGUCUUCGAGGAGCACAAAGGUGAGGGCGGAGGAGGCGUAGGAACCGAGGGUACCAAAGUCGAUUCAACAGAAUGAGACAGUGGUUUGCAAGGAUCUGUGCACGAGGUUGGUGUUGCGGUGGAGGGAGCAAACAACACAGCUGCUUGUGGGGUGGGGACAAUGAGGCAGCAAGACUCAAGGUCCAGGAUGAUGAACAACAACAGCGGCGUCGACGCAGGAGGCCCUGGUUCAGGCAUGGGUCUGGGAGUGCCGGAUGUGCCAUUGGGGUCAAUAGUAAUUCACGAUAAUGCAGGGUGCUGUCAGCAAGAACAUGGAGAGCCUUGCCGUCUUGGCCUUCCAAUAUUUUAUGAAUUUGGUGAUUGGAUAAAGGAACAAUCUUUUCCUUUUGCAGAUUAAGACAAAAGGGGUCACAAUGACAGCGCUGUUGGCUAAGGCGACAGCAACGGCUCUGCUUCAGCAUCCUAUGGUGAACUUGCAGCUGCAGGGAUGGAAAGAGCUUCACAUACAAAAAUAGUAUCAACAUUGCUAUAGCAGUGGCCAUAGAUGGUGGGUUGAUUACAUCGGUUCUUCAAGAUGCUGGUAAGGUCAAACACUUUACCGUGCACAAUGAAUGUUGAUUUUUUAUGAUUUAUUUAAAUGAGUGGUUACUUGUUGGUUUAUGCGUCUUGACAUUUAUUCAUUGUCAAGGAAACAGAAGGAGUUAGUUGAUAAGGCGCUAGCAAAGCAGUUGCAGCCCCAUGAGUACAACUCUGAUAUUUUUUUGCCUCAUACACAAAUAUGAAUAUGUAGCACAUUGUUGUAUAUCUUUUCUAAUGCUCUGAAUAAGAUGUGGUGGUACAGUGCAGAAUAAUAUGUUCUGUUUUUUAUUCAACUAUUCAAAUCUUAUUUUUAUUCGGCUAUUCAAAUCAUAUUUUUUUUAUUAGCUGAUUGCCGGAGAGAUUGAAAUCAAAGGGGUUGAGCUGCAGGAGAGUUGUAGUUUGUCGUUCUUUUCCAUGGUAGGCAUUUUCAUUGGGAUCAUACAAUUAUUCUCUGUCGAUGUUUACAAGAAAAUAGUAUCUAAAAACAAGAUGCUUCUGUUCCAUGAGGGUGUGAUUGAGACUGAAACGGUGGGUACCAGAGUGAAGGAGUCGGAGGCAGUUUUAGUAGAGAAAGAGGUCGAACUGAUCGAUGAGCCUCAGAUUCAAGAGAGCCCUCCAGUUCCUGCAUUGUUGGAUGAUGAGGUGGAUUUUGCUUAAUCGUCACUUGCUAUUAGAGAAUCCGACAUUCCCGUGAAAAAGGUGCUGAUAAUCGUGACAAUCACUUCUGUUCGGCCACAGCAACCAUAUUACUUGAAUCAGCUAGCCCAUGUUUUGAAAGUUGUAUUGGUACCUCUUCUAUGGUUAGUGGUGGAAUGGCCUGAACAGUCCUAUGAAACAGCAAAAACUCUGUUACAGUCCACUCAGGUGGAAGAGGUUGUUUGUAGAUGUUUUUUGUUUUCAUAUCUGAACUGUAAUAGUAAGGUUACAAUAAUUUUUCACAUAGCUGAUGGAACUUCUGUUUGUGUGAAGCCAACAGAUGGUCCCUCCUGCUAAUUAGAAACCAAUUUUUUUAGACUUUUUCAGCCUCCUCUACUGCUCAUGUUGCUGGCUUGUAAUAGGUGGGCUAGGGGUUAUCUAGAGAUGACAAGGCCCUCAAGUUGGCUUUCCAGCACUGGAUCGAAGCGAUGAGUACAAACGGGCAGUGGGGAUUGGUGGGUUUUACUGCCCAUUCUUGCUCUUUUCAUGGUACAAUUAUCCUGUUUUUUUCCUACAGUGAUGUUUUAUUUUGUGGCACCAUCUUUCGACCAUAAACAAAUACACUCACUUUGAUGAAUGUUGAUAUACUUUCAGCAUUCAAUUGUAGAUAGAAUUCUUGCUUUCGUGUAGAUCUAGGUCAUCGUGUCGCCGUCUUUGUUUGGCUGGUUGUAGAGCCCCCGCUCUAGGUUUGUUUAGCUCCUCGGUUCUUCUAGCUCCGGUAUGGUUUCCUUUUUGCGCAUAGUGGCGGCAUCUGAUGCAUAGUUCGACGGUCCCUCGCGUUGCUCCGGUAUGUCGUGUUCCUCUCAUAUUUCUUCGUCUAUUUUUUGGCCUAUUGUAGAAUUGUUUUGUUUGUUUCCCGUUUUCUUUAUAGAGCACGUGGGAGAGCGCCGCAGCUGCUGCGGCUGUGGCGGAUGUGGCGGCCAUGGCGUGGCGACCUGUGGCAAAUGGCGGCAUGAAGAAGAAGCUGAUUUGAGGAGUCGUCGCUGGACUGGGAGAAGUACAUGAAGGACAAUAACAAAAUUCUCGGAGGUUCAGAUCUCACUGUUCACUAAUUUGAGUGCCUUGACAAAUCACCAUUUAGAUACUUUCUUGGGGAACUAUAUGGUGGCAAUUCACUGGGAAGCACAAUUGCAGUGGGCAAUGAGAAGAAGCGGCAGCGGGUGUACAACACUAUGUUUCAUGUCCCAUGGAGAUGUGAACGGGGAAAUUCAGAGUCGUGUUCGCCUCAAUUCCUGCACCCAUCUUUGCAGCUCUAUAUUGUUCAACAAAAGAUUUGGGAACUGGGAUAGCUGAAGAUGCCUCUACUGAAGAUGAUGAUUUCAGUGGCGACCUACCACCAGAGUUUGAAAAUAUCAUGAUAUUCAAUGGUGUUGAAACCGAGAGUGACAUUGCUCCUCCAGUGCUCGAGGAAAACAAGGAUGCUGUUGUAUCUGCAACAAAAACUGCAAAGUCCCUGGAUGGGUUUGCCUUAAAAACAGGGCAGGAGGAGGAGGGUCCGGAAGAGGUUGAUGCUACUGAAAAAGCAAUGGAAGUGGUUGAUAAUGUUGUGAAGUCCCUGGAUGAAGAGGUAGAAUCAAAGGAGAUGCAGAAGCAGCAACCGCAUGAUUAUAAUAGCAUGAGCCUAGGGGUGGUAACGGGUCAUUUAAUUUAGCCUAGCAAAUUUACGGAUCGAAUCAAGUUAGGGCCGGAUCAUAAAAUAAUACAAUUUUGAACUAAUAAAAUUAAGGGCUUUGUUGGUUCGUGAAGCAAGUAUUAGGGCCAUGAUCCAUUACCACUCCUACAUGAGCCUCAGGAAUCUUAAAGCCACACACAAGAAAUAUCUCAUUGCUGCAAAGGAAGAGGAGGUCACCGAAGGGAAGAGGCUUCCUCUCGAGGAGGUGGAAGAGAACGCAUGCAUCAGCCACUGAACAGAACAAGCAGGCGAUUUUUUUGUGUGGAUGGCGUCUGCCACAAAAGGAUUGAAUCGAGGAGUGUGCUCUGGUUGUGAAGUGAUAACUAGGCUACCACAUGUUCAUUUUCAAAAGUUUUCGUGUGUGAUCGUGAUCAGGGGUGAAACUGUGGUUUCAGCCAACAAACUUGCAGUUCCUAUUGCUUCUCCCCACUUUUUUCCUUUAUAUAUAUUUUGUAUCGGUUACAGAACAUGGUUUAUCCAGUGGUAUGCUGAUGAAAGAUGCUAAGUUUCGCUUAAUAUAAUGUAUAUGAAGGUCCUGGGUACCUCAAAUUUUGUCCA
Long non-coding RNA from Zea mays, 3993 nucleotides. RefSeq lists it as uncharacterized. Lineage: Eukaryota; Viridiplantae; Streptophyta; Magnoliopsida; Poales; Poaceae. The transcript is spliced from 7 exons. The record is from RefSeq and is a predicted model, not a curated record.